RNAcentral lists this ribosomal RNA (253 nucleotides) under uncultured bacterium. RNAcentral's name for it is "partial 16S ribosomal RNA". It matches the Rfam family "Bacterial small subunit ribosomal RNA", at positions 524 to 776 of the family's 1533-position model. The record is from RNAcentral.
GACGAACCGUGCGAACGUUGUUCGGAAUCACUGGGCGUAAAGGGUGCGUAGGCGGGGCUUUAAGUCAGGGGUGAAAUCCUGGAGCUCAACUCCAGAACUGCCUUUGAUACUGAAGAUCUUGAGUUCGGGAGAGGUGAGUGGAACUGCGAGUGUAGAGGUGAAAUUCGUAGAUAUUCGCAAGAACACCAGUGGCGAAGGCGGCUCACUGGCCCGAUACUGACGCUGAGGCACGAAAGCGUGGGGAGCAAACAGG